This 253-nucleotide ribosomal RNA is filed under the name uncultured bacterium. RNAcentral's name for it is "partial 16S ribosomal RNA". It matches the Rfam family "Bacterial small subunit ribosomal RNA", at positions 524 to 776 of the family's 1533-position model. The record is from RNAcentral.
UACGUAGGGUGCAAGCGUUGUCCGGAAUUAUUGGGCGUAAAGAGCUCGUAGGCGGUUCGUCGCGUCGGCUGUGAAAACCCGAGGCUCAACCUCGGGCCUGCAGUCGAUACGGGCGGACUGGAGUUCGGCAGGGGAGACUGGAAUUCCUGGUGUAGCGGUGAAAUGCGCAGAUAUCAGGAGGAACACCGGUGGCGAAGGCGGGUCUCUGGGCCGAUACUGACGCUGAGGAGCGAAAGCGUGGGGAGCGAACAGG